UACGUAGGGGUGCGAACGUUGUCCGGAAUUAUUGGGCGUAAAGAGCUCGUAGGCGGUCUGUUGCGUCGGGCUCGUGAAAACCCGGGGCUCAACCCCGGGCCUUGCAGCCGAUACGGGCAGACUAGAGUUCGGCAGGGGAGACUGGAAUUCCUGGUGUAGCGGUGAAAUGCGCAGAUAUCAGGAGGAACACCGGUGGCGAAGGCGGGUCUCUGGGCCGAUACUGACGCUGAGGAGCGAAAGCGUGGGGAGCGAACAGG
RNAcentral lists this ribosomal RNA (257 nucleotides) under uncultured bacterium. RNAcentral describes it as "partial 16S ribosomal RNA". It matches the Rfam family "Bacterial small subunit ribosomal RNA", at positions 524 to 776 of the family's 1533-position model. The record is from RNAcentral.